RNAcentral lists this ribosomal RNA (481 nucleotides) under uncultured bacterium. RNAcentral describes it as "partial 16S ribosomal RNA". It matches the Rfam family "Bacterial small subunit ribosomal RNA", at positions 28 to 507 of the family's 1533-position model. The record is from RNAcentral.
GAUGAACGCUGGCGGCGUGCUUAACACAUGCAAGUCGAACGAAGCAUUUAAGACAGAUUACUUCGGUUUGAAGUCUUUUAUGACUGAGUGGCGGACGGGUGAGUAACGCGUGGGUAACCUGCCUCAUACAGGGGGAUAGCAGCUGGAAACGGCUGGUAAUACCGCAUAAGCGCACAGUACCACAUGGUACAGUGUGAAAAACUCCGGUGGUAUGAGAUGGACCCGCGUCUGAUUAGCUUGUUGGCGGGGUAACGGCCCACCAAGGCGACGAUCAGUAGCCGACCUGAGAGGGUGACCGGCCACAUUGGGACUGAGACACGGCCCAGACUCCUACGGGAGGCAGCAGUGGGGAAUAUUGCACAAUGGAGGAAGCGCUGAUGCAGCGACGCCGCGUGAGUGAAGAAGUAGUUCGCUAUGUAAAGCUCUAUCAGCAGGGAAGAUAGUGACGGUACCUGACUAAGAAGCUCCGGCUAAAUACGUG